GUCUUUUUAGUAUAUAAGUAUCAUUGACUUCCAAUCAAUAGGUUUAAAUAAAAUU
Molecule: transfer RNA, 55 nt
Filed under: Priapulus caudatus
Lineage: Eukaryota; Metazoa; Priapulida; Priapulimorpha; Priapulimorphida; Priapulidae
Description: tRNA-Gly
Source: RNAcentral